GAUUCGAUCGGGCGAGAUUAAAGUAGUUGUUUGUCACGCUAUUUUUGUGCUCCAACACGAUUGAAGACCUAUUUUGACGAGAAAUCGUCUUCGUCCUCGCCGUCGUCGUCGUUGGCGUUGGCGUCAUUUUCGUUCGUUCGUGGGACCGACUUGUUUGUUUCACGGUUGGCUGUUUGCCUGGCCCGUCGCCGGCUAACGUCACCCCGAUCGUCGCCAGAUGAUGUGCAAUGCUGAUUUCACCCGAUGCUGAUAAGCAAACAAGAUGGGCAGUUUAAAAGGUUCCUAAAGGUCUCGUUUAAAACAACAACCCAACUGGACGGGAAGGGAGGGUAGCAAACACUCUAACACUGCAAGACACUUCUGGUUCCUGUUCUGAUAUGCUUCGGUGCUAAAAUCUGUUUCCUUCCCGAAAAUGUACUCACCAAUAUAAAGCCUGCCCGGUCGGGAAUAACAUCCUUCGGAGCGUUCGUUCAGCCUCAGCCGGAUGUGAGCGGAAAACGCAAGCUCCCUGCAUUGCGUUGCAAGUAACAACUUUAGAGCCUAUUAAAGUCAUGUCAAAUAUCUUCCCCUGGGUCGUCUCUCACUCCAGGAAGUUUUCAAGACUGUAAGAAAGAAGAAUCCUGCCGUUGUCAUCGGCACCAUUUUCCCUGGGUUUCCUGGGAGGAUGACCCAGAGCAG
Molecule: long non-coding RNA, 678 nt
Organism: Anopheles arabiensis
Lineage: Eukaryota; Metazoa; Arthropoda; Insecta; Diptera; Culicidae
Exons: 3
Source: RefSeq, a predicted model, not a curated record